Molecule: non-coding RNA, 26 nt
Filed under: Drosophila erecta
Lineage: Eukaryota; Metazoa; Arthropoda; Insecta; Diptera; Drosophilidae
Also listed under: 1 other name
Source: RNAcentral
UGUUUGUCAAAUUCAAGUUCGCUAAU